This 435-nucleotide ribosomal RNA is filed under the name uncultured bacterium. RNAcentral describes it as "bacterial SSU rRNA". It matches the Rfam family "Bacterial small subunit ribosomal RNA", at positions 958 to 1402 of the family's 1533-position model. The record is from RNAcentral.
AACGCGAAGAACCUUACCGGGGCUUGACAUCCUGCGCUAUCCUAGGAGACUAGGUUUCCGGGCAACCGGACGCAGAGACAGGUGCUGCAUGGCUGUCGUCAGCUCGUGCCGUGAGGUGUUGGGUUAAGUCCCGCAACGAGCGCAACCCUUGCCGUGUGUUGGUCGCAAGAUCUCUCACGCGGGACCGCCGGUGACAAGCCGGAGGAAGGUGGGGAUGACGUCAAGUCAGCAUGGCCCUUACGUCCCGGGCUACACACGUGCUACAAUGGGAGGGACAACGAGUCGCGAACCCGCGAGGGCAAGCUAAUCUCACAAACCCUCUCUCAGUUCGGAUUGAAGGCUGCAACUCGACUCCAUGAAGCUGGAAUCGCUAGUAAUCGCAGAUCAGAACGCUGCGGUGAAUACGUUCCCGGGCCUUGUACACACCGGACACGC